CAACCCUCAGGACCGCUAUUCGUAGCGGGACUGGUGUUGGGGAUCAGCGUAGGCGCGGGGUUCUACCUCGCCAGCUGGCCCUGAAAUACAGUGGCGGUCUCGUCGCGGACUCCCUUGCGUAGUAACUAACCUCGCUCGCGGAAGACCGGCUUGGCCACGCCGUAAAACCCCCUAACUUUUUAU
This 183-nucleotide unclassified non-coding RNA is filed under the name uncultured Sordariomycetes. RNAcentral's name for it is "sequence contains ITS2". The record is from RNAcentral. Lineage: Eukaryota; Fungi; Ascomycota; Sordariomycetes.